AUAGACAUGACAGCUCCCAUUCAGCUCCUGGGGCUGCUGCUGCUGCUCUGGAUCCCAGGUGCCAGAUGUGAAAUCCUGAUGACCCAUUCUCCACUCUCCCCAUCUGCAUCUCCAGGAGACAGAAUCACCAUCAGUUGCAAGGCUAGUCAGAGCAUUGGCAAUUAUUUAGCCUGGUAUCAGCAGAAACCAGGGAAAGCUCAUAAGCUCCUGAUAUACGGUGCUAACAGUUUGGCAUCUGGGGUGCCCUCAAGGUUCAGUGGCAGUGGAUCUGGGACAGAUUUCACUCUCACAAUCAACAGCCUGGAGCCUGAAGAUUUUGAAAGUUAUUACUGUCAACAGGCUAAUAGUAACCCUCCCACAGUGAAACAAGUUAUAACAUAA
This is a non-coding RNA of Castor canadensis (American beaver), 381 nucleotides long. The record is from the annotation of a RefSeq genome assembly. Lineage: Eukaryota; Metazoa; Chordata; Mammalia; Rodentia; Castoridae.